Non-coding RNA from Schistosoma mattheei, 78 nucleotides. The record is from Rfam. NCBI's taxonomy places the organism in Eukaryota, Metazoa, Platyhelminthes, Trematoda, Strigeidida, Schistosomatidae.
AGCUUUCAAAAUCCGUGCAGAGAUUUCCUCAGACGCCAAACCAUUAGGGCUGAUCAGACUUUCAAGAUAAGUGGAGUU